Molecule: long non-coding RNA, 845 nt
Filed under: Phaseolus vulgaris (common bean)
Lineage: Eukaryota; Viridiplantae; Streptophyta; Magnoliopsida; Fabales; Fabaceae
Description: long non-coding RNA (PVUL_LNC004533)
Source: RNAcentral
UCUACUCAGAACAUGGGUUCUUCUGCAGUACAAUUGUUUCUCAUCUUGGGGCUUCUGGCUACUUCUUGCAUAGCACAAGCCCCAGGUGGCGCACCCACGCAGCCUCCCACAACCACCCCACCACCACCGCCCGCAGCAGCACCAGUACCUGCACCCACUGCACCCGCAACUCCACCACCAUCUUCACCACCACCUGCACCCACACCCGCACCCACACCAACUGCUCCCACUCCUGCUCCAGCUUCUUCUCCUUCAUCUGCUGCAUCUCCCUCAGCUGAGUCACCAGGCUCUCCUACAUCUCCCCCAGCACCACCGGCCCCCUCAUCUGCACCUUCACCCUCAGUCAGCGAACCACCACCCUCACCCUCCUCCGCAUUCUCCGUUGGCAAGGCCUUCGUUGCCGGGUCUGCGCUCGCGGGAACCUUCGUAGCCAUGGUCUUGGCUUGAAGACAGACCUGACGGUUGGGAUUCGUCCACGUGGAGGCUCUUGGGCCCUUGAUCUUGUUUUACAGCGACGGACGGACGGACGGGAUCUGUUUCAUUUAUUUUAUCCUCUGGUCUUGUUGAGUAGCGGUUUUCUUUUUCUCUCUUUGGGGUUUUAUGUGUUAGUUUUGUUCGUUCGUGGUUGAUGUGUUUGUUGAUUCGAUAUCUGGGAGGGUUGGGUGUUGAUGAUGAUGAUGAUGAUGAUGAUGAUGGUGAUGGUAUUCAUGAUUAUGAUGAUUAUUUUGUGAUUCAUUGUUCUGGUGUUCACACGUGUACGUAGAUGACCUUGAUGAUUUCAUUGUACAUCUAAUAAUUGAAAGAAUAAAACAGUUUGUCAUUCUUUUUACUUACAAUCUUGUUCC